UGCGUAGGCGGAAUAUUAAGUCAGUGGUGAAAUCCCAGAGCUCAACUCUGGAACUGCCAUUGAUACUGAUAUUCUUGAAUGUAGUUGAGGUAGGCGGAAUGUGUAAUGUAGCGGUGAAAUGCUUAGAUAUUACACAGAACACCGAUUGCGAAGGCAGCUUACUAAACUAUGAUUGACGCUGAGGCACGAAAGCGUGGGGAGCGAACAGGAUUAGAUACCCUGGUAGUCC
Molecule: ribosomal RNA, 229 nt
Filed under: uncultured bacterium
Lineage: Bacteria
Description: partial 16S ribosomal RNA
Rfam family: Bacterial small subunit ribosomal RNA
Source: RNAcentral